Non-coding RNA from Misgurnus anguillicaudatus (oriental weatherfish), 1409 nucleotides. The record is from RefSeq and is a predicted model, not a curated record. NCBI's taxonomy places the organism in Eukaryota, Metazoa, Chordata, Actinopteri, Cypriniformes, Cobitidae.
AAUGGACUUAGUGGGUCUUUGAAUUUAAAUAAAAUAAACAUGUAUAUGCAACACAAAAUAUUUAUAUUCCUUGUGUAAACAUAAUUUAAUUGAUUAGGAUUAAAAUGUUUUGUUUGAAUGUAAAAUGAACACAUUAUUCUCACAUUGAUUAAAAUUGAUUGAAUUGAAUACUUAAAACAAUAAAAUUGGGUUUGGACACAAAACGGCACCUCCUGAGCAGCAGGGGCAGUAUAGCUCAUUGAGAAGGACAUCGAUUGCCAUAAAAGAAGAAUAAAGAUCGUUUUUUUGGGCGCCAAAAUGAAGACUAAGCACAGCAGUCACUGCCAGUCAGUCAGAAGAACUCUCUCAGACGGACACCACGUUAUUAAAGUCCAUCAUCCUUGCAUGCGCUACACAGCAUUGAUAAAUGCUGAAUUUGAAAGAAUCACUACUGUCUUAUGUUCCUGCGUGUCACCUGGACCUCCAAUCCAAAAACCUGACGAAACUCUUCUAUCAGAAAGGAGGACAGCUAGCAAAAAGGCUUCAAACAAUCAAUGAUCAAAUGACAGAUGGCAUGGAUGAAGUCAGCAUCAGUGAGGUCAUUUGAAGACACCACUGUUGGGAUUUGUGCUCUCAAACAACCUGCUUCUUGUGAUGAAGAAGAGGAUCUUUGUAUAGUCCUGGAAGGCAUGAAGGUGUUGCAACAUCGUGCCAUGUUGUUUGAGCUGAUGUAUGCCUUAAACCUGAGCUAUCCUGAUCUCCGCUUUAUUUUUGAGGAAAUCCAAAAGAUUUUAAUGGAACUGCAUUGAGAGUAACUUUAACGAACAGUUUCUUUCAGUGAAAGGAUCAGAAAGACUGUGCUGCUCAUUUUUGACUUUGUUUAUCUGUUUUAAGUGUUUUCUCUUAUUAAUACAUUAACCGUUUGCUGCUCAGAGUCGAUUUUGGAAAUGGUUGUUGUAUUUUGUUUUUGUUGAAUCUAUGAUUAACAGUUUAUACAAAUGCUGUAGCUCUGACUUUCUGAAGGAUUGAUAUUUUCCAGUUUGUAAAUCCAUUUUAAAAAUAAUAGUACUUACUGUUUUGCAUGUCUCUUUGGAAUGCAGUGUUUGUGUUUUAGCACUUCUAAAUCUACUGUGAUAGUAACUAUUUUAAACAUUUGGGUCAGUUUCAUCCUAAUAUAACUAGGGCCUAGUCAUGAAUUAAUCUACAACCUGUUUGGGAAAUUGCCCCUUUAUGUAUGUACUGCAUGUGCUGAUUGUUGUAAUAGUUAUUGACUGUUAUUGAAUUAAUGUGUAGUGAUUUAAAUGAAUUGAUGAUCUGAAAGCAGUGGUUUGCCUCAAUAUCACUAAACAUUUGUACAAAACUCUUCACUUUUUAUGCCAAUGCAAAUGUAUUUUGUAUUUAAAAAGAAAUAAAUAACAUUUGGAUAAUUA